Long non-coding RNA from Leopardus geoffroyi (Geoffroy's cat), 1803 nucleotides. RefSeq lists it as uncharacterized. The transcript has 2 exons. NCBI's taxonomy places the organism in Eukaryota, Metazoa, Chordata, Mammalia, Carnivora, Felidae. The record is from RefSeq and is a predicted model, not a curated record.
UUUGCUCUCUUCAUAAGGGGCUGUCUAUAUGCAUUAUCUCUCAUUUUUUUUCCAGGCCAUUAUUUCUUGAACUCACUUUAAAUUGCUAUUUUUGUGAUUAAAAAAAAGAUCUCCAUGAUGCUAAGGGCAACGAAUAUUCUCAAGUCUCAUUUUACUUCAUUGGACAGCAGAAUUUCAAGAAUCAGCCCACUUUACUGGAAUAUUUCAUUUCCGGGACGUCCCUCUUGGGUUCCGCUCUGGCCCCUUCUCUGUCUCCCUUGCUUGCUCCUUCUGUUUCCUCUACUCCUUAAUAUUAAAAUGCCCCACGAUUCUGUCUUCCGUCCUCUUUUCUCCUCUCUCUGCACCUGCCAUCCUGGCGCUCCCAACCGAUCUCCUAAGUUUAAAAGCUCCGCUAGGCCUUCCGGGGGAGGCCCUGUUGUCUCUGACGUCACCUUCCGCUGCCGUGGUUCCUUCCGGCUGCCGCCAUCAUCACCCGCUCCUGGCAGGCUCCCUGCAGAGCCGCCCUGCUUGCGAUUCUUCCCCUUGGAAUCUUCUUUCCCAGAUUUCCACGUGACUUGUUCCCGGAGCCCCUCCCAGUUGUUAUUUACAUGUAGGGCCUUCCUGGAUCUCUGUCCUUCCAUCUGUCCGUGCCCUUUCCGGCCCUGGGCGCUAUACCUCUUCACUGGCUGAUUUUCCUUUGUGCUUACACUGCGCUCUAUAAUUCACUUACUUACUUUUUGGGUUGUCUUCUGUACGAAUUGAAGUCCUCACAAAGACAAGAUGUGUUUUGGGUUUUUUUGCCUGAUACUAUAAAUAUCUGUAAAAUGAAUAAAUCCUAGAAUAUAGAUCUCUAGAUACAACAGCUAUCGCUCCUUACAUGCUGGAAAUUUAAACCAGAAUUUAAUUUUCCAACAUAUCCUUCCCCACUCUGUCCCCUCCCUAUGCCGUCUUCCUAGCUCCGCGCUGUAUUCCGUUUUCUUACCUUAUACAGGUAGCAGCAUUGACUCAGAUUAGGCAGCUUCUCUAACGUCUUGCAGCUAAUACACAGCAGAGCUGGCAUGGGUUCCCUGUUUAACCAGAGAAUCGGUCACUCUGUAUUUUCAGACAUUCCCAACCACUCUCUGGAGGGUGAUCCAAAUACAGCAGAGUCUGAUGAGAAACCAUCCUACCUUUCUUCUUCUUUUUUUUUUUUUUAACGUUUAUUUAUUUUUUGCGAGAGACUGAGCGAAUUGGGGAGGGGCAGAGAGGGGCUAGAGGUUCUGAAGCAGACAGCCUCUGCUCCGGCUCACGAACCCUGAGAUCGUGACCUGAGCCAGAGUUGGACACUUACCCAGCUGAGCCAGCCAGGCACUCCUGAUGAUCAACUGUUCUGUCAUUAGAUGGUGACCUGGUGAAUGACAUCUGAUGUUCAUUGUCUACAAUCACGUGCUGAGGGUGGCCAGUGAGAAGCUCUGUCACCUGGAUAGGGACCUCAGCAGGCAGCUGCCCAGGACACCUAUGCGAACAUGGACGAGGGGGCCGCUAUUGGGAAAGCCUUCUUCCAGCCCUUGCUCUGGGGAAAAUCAGCUGCCUUGUCGUAAGCCCUGUGGAGAGGUCCAUGGGACCAGGAACUGGCAUCUCCUGUGAACAGCCAUUGAGCAUCUGAGGCUGCCAACGGCCACAUGAGUGAACUUGGAAGAAGAUCCUGACCCAGUCCAGCCUUGAGAUGACAGCAGCCCCUGUAACAUCUUGAUUGAGCCUGUGAGAGGCACACAGCUAAGACCCAUGGGGAUUCCUGACCUGUAGCAACUACGGGAUAAUAAAUGUUUACUGGGGGCACCUGGG